RNAcentral lists this ribosomal RNA (468 nucleotides) under uncultured bacterium. RNAcentral describes it as "partial 16S ribosomal RNA". It matches the Rfam family "Bacterial small subunit ribosomal RNA", at positions 28 to 507 of the family's 1533-position model. The record is from RNAcentral.
GACGAACGCUGGCGGCGUGCUUAACACAUGCAAGUCGAACGGAAAGGCCCUGCUUUUGUGGGGUGCUUGAGUGGCGAACGGGUGAGUAACACGUGAGUAACCUGCCCUUGACUUUGGGAUAACUUCAGGAAACUGGGGCUAAUACCGGAUAGUAGCUCCUGCUGCAUGGUGGGGGUUGGAAAGUUUCGGUGGUUGGGGAUGGACUUGCGGCUUAUCAGCUUGUUGGUGUGGUAGUGGCUUACCAAGGCUUUGACGGGUAGCCGGCCUGAGAGUGUGACCGGCCACAUUGGGACUGAGGUAGGGGCAAUACGCCUACGGGAGGCAGCAGUGGGGAAUAUUCCGCACUGGGCGGAGGCCUGAUGCAGCAACGCCGCGUGCGAGAUGACUGCCUUCGGGUUGUAACCCGCUUUCGACUGUGAAGAAGAGUGAGUGACGGUAAUGGGUAAGGAAGCAACGGCUAACUACGUG